GCGCGGUGUUGCCAUGGGGACGAGCUGACCCAGCUGAAGGUUUCCGUGCUUGGAAACCGCGCCACCGCGGAGGUAGCCGUUCCCUGAGGUAGCCGUUACCUGACCUAGCCAUGGCACAGAGCACUGAAAACCACGACCCUGUCGGAGCCAUCUUAAUCCAGAUCCAUGAAGACCUUUAUCAGUUAAAGGAGAAAUUAACAAAAUUCUCACCUGAGGAAAAAGGAGAGACUCUAGACAUUCAGAGUCUUGAAACAGCAAUCAAAAGGACUGAAAUGGGGUUAAGAAUUCACAUUGAGAAGUAUUUAAAUGUUGUAAACCAGAAUGUAUUAACGACUUCUGUUAAUGAUGAGAGCUUAUAUACUCCCCAGGCUUCCAAAUGGAAUCUGAGGGUACACUUUGGCAACCCCAAAGACAGCACAGUUCAUCUCUGCCUGUCUUUCCAAGAGCAAAGUCUAAAGAUUCUUCCAAAUCACUUUUGGCCAUUUGACAUCGCGUGCAGCAUCAUGAUGACAGACUGUUUUUUAACAACUCUGACUUGUGAAGUUGAAUCUUUUGUCUUCUUUCGACUGCGAAAGAUAGGGUUGAAUGUAAAAAUCAUGCAGGAUCCUGAAAACAUCCACCACAGAGCUGCCGUAAAUGCGAACUAUGGAAUCAGUUUGCCAUAUAUUAAUCAGAGAAAAGCAUGUGUAAAGGUUCCGAAGUUAAUCAAAGGGUCUACCAUAUCCAACCUCAUGGUUCUGCCAUCUUCUCAUCACACAGAUCCCUAUUUCACUCCUAUACCAGUCUUACAGGCAGAUGCCCGCAAAGGGAUUUUAAGUAUGAUAGAACAAGGGCUGAUUCCACCAACAGCAAGGAUUACCUUUCAGAAUCCACCCAUUACACACAGAGCAGCUCCUCUGCAUAGUUUUGAUGAAGCACGUAAGAUUCCAAAUGCAGCCACUUUCACUAUACCUCGGGAACCACCGCCAUCUCCAGCAGAAGUGAAGUUCUUUCCCAAGAAACAAAGAUCAAAGGGGAAAAGCAGAAGGUCAAGAGGACAUCAUGAUAGGAAGGCCAUGAAAGUCACAACGCCUUCGAGAGCCCUGAAAUCACUGUGGGAUUAUGACUUUUUAAUUUAUAAUGGUGUCAUAGACAAUACAGCCCCAGACUUCUUAGCAUUCAAGGAACAUUUUAGCUUAGCUUGGGGAGGUAUUUUUUCCCUCUUGGAACAUGUCGAGAAGUUUCUCAGGAACUAUGCAAUACCAGAAGUCAAAAUAAAAGGGAAUAAUUUGGUGGCCCUCCUUCCAGAGUUUGAGCUGACGAAUAAACUUACCAGAUAUGACCUCCUCUCAGUGUUAGAGGACCCAGCUCAUGUCCAAAUGCUGAUAAAUCUUCCAGGUCAAAGGUACAAGGGCCAAGAUGGAAAUUCGGAGGCCGCCAUGAAGAUCCAAGCCACAUGGAAAUGCUACAAAGCAAGAAAAUUCUUCCUCAUUUAUCGCCAGCAGAAGUGGGCAUCAGGUGUGAUUGCCAUUGCUUGGCUGUUACAUUGCCAUAAGACUCGACUAAAGAAGAUACUAAAGGAAUCACGUCAGAGACACCUGGAGAAUUUCCGCAUUCGAGCCAAGCAUCUGGCAGCCAACUGGAAUCGCAUCAGGACCUCCAGGAGGACUAUUAUCCAUAUCCCAUCAUUAGGGUAUUCCCAGCCUGUGAGAGAACAUAUUGCCGAUUUCAACACACAGCAGAACAUGCAGCUGGGGAGGCUGUGUGACAUCUUAGAUGCCAAUGUGAACGUCAUCUACAUCUGCUCCCAUCAUAUGAAUGACGAGUUAGUGCUGUAUUACAAAAAAAUCCUAAGUCUACAUGCAGCCGUCAAAUCAGGGAACCUAGAGGACAGAAGUGACCUGCAGGACAGGUUCAAAAUUAUCACCCCUGAAGCUGUAAACAUCUUCCCUAAGCAUCAUAUGUGCCUGGCCACUCACCUGAUGUACAGUCCCAAGGCAAUCAAAAGAAUAAAAAAUCUCAUCCGAGGAACAGAGGCCUACAUCGUCAGCGGGCUCCUCCACAGAGAUGAUUUAGCUGUGGCCGAUAUGUUAGACAUACCCAUCCUGGGCUCUGAGCCUGAACUAGCUCAUCUUUAUCGUACCAAAUCUGGAAGUAAACGUGUCUUUGACAGUGCCAAUGUGGCAGUUCCUCCUGGAAUAUAUGACAUUUAUAGUCAGCAACAGAUGAUAGAGCAGCUGAGUCAGCUGAUAACUGAUCACCUGCAAAUACAGCGCUGGCUCUUUAAGAUGGACUCUGAGUUCCGAGGAAAUGGGACUGCAUUUUGUGAUAUUCCUUCCUACCUAAAGUGCUACAAAUGGGUGCUAAAGGAGAGUAGCAGAUAUGGCCUUGAAGACUGGAGAAAGAAAUGGGCACAAGAGCCAGCUUUGGUGAAGAUCUCCGAGGAGCUGGCAGGCAUUUUAGCACAGCACGCACAGCCAGUCAAUGAGAAACGGUUCCCGACGUGGAGGAAAUUCCUCCAAACAUUUCUCAGUCAAGGGGGUGUGAUUGAAGCAUUCCCACCUGCAGACAAUGUCACCAACCUGACAGUGGACAUGCUGAUAGAGCCCAAUGGGAAAAUCAGCGUGCUGUCCACAGGGGACCAGCUUCAUGCCGAAAGCCCCUUCAUCUCCUCUGGUACUACCAUGCCUCAGACCUCAGUGGAUCCCCAAGUUCUCACUUACUUGUGCCUCCAAAUUGGAAAAGCCUGCAGAAUGAGAGAUGUGGUUGGUUACUUUUCUAUAGAUCUGGUGACUUUUAUAGAUCCAAGCACCUUAGAACAACAGGUGUGGGCAACGGGCCUUAACCUCUCAUAUAGUGACCAGCUGGCCCUGACUCAACUCACCUUAUACCUGACAAACGGCCAUCUGGAUUGCAGUUUGAGCACCCUGGAAGUGCCCCGCUUUGUUCCAAAGGAAAGGAAGAAAACCAACCGCAUUAGUGCGCUAUCGGUGCCGACGCUGGCAACCAGUCGCUAUGCAGUGAUGACCACCCAGCUAAGACACAGCAAUCUCUCACUGGUUUUCCACUAUGUUUUUCUCCAGAUCUGUAGGGCCCAUGGCAUUGGCUAUGAUCUUGAGGACAGGCAAGGAACUGUUUUUAUAUUAUAUGAGCACCUGAAGAGACACAAGUUGGGAAUGUUGAUGAGGCUGGGAGAGGUGAGCUUCCUUCGGGUGAUGGGAGAAGAGCAACCAGACAGGCCAAACACUGGACCCAGGAUUCAGAUGCGUGGAGGUCAUCCUGAGAAGCAACCAGCUCAUACCAUCAGGAAAGUUCCAACCGCAAAGAGUAAAGGGACAACCUGAAAGCUAGGUCGUGGGGAGCUUGACCAGAGGCACUCAGAGAGGAGGCCACUUUUGGAGACCCCGGCUGGUAGGGGGUGGCAUGAGGAAAGCCUUUCAGCAGGCAGCAGAGCUCAGCAGAGGCUGACACUCAGGAGCAGGACUUGUGUCCUGGAAUUGAUGGGAUGAGACAGGGGUAGUAUCACCCAGGCAGAGGCAGGGUUCAUGAGGUAUGGGCCACAGGAAGAGCAGUGCAGGUGGGUACUCAGGCAUAGAGGAACCAGGCAAGAGGAAAACCAUCACAGAAAGUAGGAGAUAGAGGAAGAGCCUGUUUCAUGAACUGAGAAACUCCCAGUCAUCAAACUGACCUAGCAGCAAGGUGGAUUUGAUGCUGAAACCUACAGAAUUAAUAAUUAGACUGGUAACCAAGAGGAACUUGCCCAGCUGUCCCUACAUCUGUACCUGAGAUUUCAGGCAAGGAUGCCUUGACCUGCAGGCUAGUUUCAAUGGUAGAAAUGGUCCUACUGGUGUACCUUCUAGAUGGUUAUUGCUAUUCACACAUCCUUCAGGGAGGGCACAGUUGACAUGGACCUCUGGAAAGCCUUUAGUCCUUUUCUACUGUUUUCUGCCCAUCUUAAUCUCAUCCCUAACUGCAGUCAUAGAACCACAGAAUGUUAGAGCAGGGAAGGGCCUCAGAAUUAACUGAUCCUCAUAGACGGGAAACUGAGGCUUAGAGAGGGGCAGUGAUUUGCCUGGGUCACACAGCAGGUGGUCUGUCUCCUGAUCCUGAACUUACUGUUCUUUUCACUACACCACAAAGCCUACACUGAGUGACCACCUUAUAUAGGGAGCCCUAUAAUGCUACAGGAUAGUUUGCAAGCUGUCUCUGAAAUCUUAAAGUGGAUGUUCAGGUUUAUAAAGACGGCUGUUCAUGAACAGGGCACAUUCUCCUCUGAACAUAGGCAGGACACUCUCAUUAAGUGAUAGGAAUCACUUGUACCCGUGAAAUAGAAAGUAAGCCCCAGACAAAAGACUCCAGAAUACUGAGAUGCAAAUGUCUGCAUAGACAAGGAAAUCAUUUGGCAAGGAUCACACUUAGCGACAGUUCUCCUAAAGUAACUUAAACCAUUUUUUUUUAUUAUUAUACUUUAAGUUCUAGGGUACCUGUGCACAACGUGCAGGUUUGUUACAUAUGUAUCCAUGUGCCAUGCUGGUGUCCUGCACCCAUUAACUCGUCAUUUACAUUAGAACAAUCGGCGAGGAUCUCCAGGGGGUCCUCAUGACCUUUGCUCGCAAUCUCUUCAUCAUCCAUCAAGAAAUAUCAGCACCUAAUAUGCAAGGCGAGACCAAUUUUAAG
RNA transcript from Symphalangus syndactylus (siamang), 4656 nucleotides. It is a transcript of the gene named IQ motif containing H, with no coding region annotated. NCBI's taxonomy places the organism in Eukaryota, Metazoa, Chordata, Mammalia, Primates, Hylobatidae. The record is from RefSeq and is a predicted model, not a curated record.